GCGUUCGUUGAAAGGAGAGACGGUUGGCAUCUCCCCUGACGAGGACGGCAACAGCCUUCGGGCUUUCCUGUAACACACACGGUUAAGGCUUCCCGCGGAUCUUACCCAAUUUUUUU
This is a small nuclear RNA of Elaeis guineensis (African oil palm), 116 nucleotides long. The record is from RefSeq and is a predicted model, not a curated record. Lineage: Eukaryota; Viridiplantae; Streptophyta; Magnoliopsida; Arecales; Arecaceae.